UUUAAAACAUUUUAAUAUUUUAAAUGUAUUGUCAUAGUUCAGACAUGAUCUGUUGGACUUUGGUAUCAUUCUUGGCACCAGUUUGUUACGUGUAAGAAGCUGAAAUUGUGCAGGUUCAAACAAAACAUUGGCUGCCCCCAGUCCUCAGGUCCCACUGUUGUGAUCCAUGCCAAAGCAGGAGAUCAAAUCACUCUGGUGAUACUGUACCGAGAAGCUCUAGAGGGAGAACAGCAUUCAUCCAUCCAUCUGCCAGCCAGUUAUCCUCCACAGGGUGACAAGUGCCAGUCAUUAAAAUGUCAGCUUCCUGCUCAAUAUGGGGAGGGAAACAGGAAGCGGUUGACCGAUGACUUCUGCUUCACACACAGACCUUCCUCAGCCGGCCCACAAAGCCUCUGCCGUCACACGGUGCACUGGCCAGCGGUGGAAAAAUACAGCGUUCGUCUUAAAAAUAGAUUGGCGCCAUUCAGCAGGACUGGAAGCAGCUUGGCUACAAGGUACUGGAGGAGAUUAAAGCACCCUUGACUGACAUGCCUGUACUUGGGAACUGAUGCUCUGUGGUUACGUCACAUUUUGUUCGGACGUUGAUUCCCAUCUUUAACGAGAGAAAAUAAACAAUAAAGUCAAA
Long non-coding RNA from Paramormyrops kingsleyae, 625 nucleotides. RefSeq lists it as uncharacterized. The record is from RefSeq and is a predicted model, not a curated record. Lineage: Eukaryota; Metazoa; Chordata; Actinopteri; Osteoglossiformes; Mormyridae.